This is a long non-coding RNA of Rhea pennata, 3940 nucleotides long. RefSeq lists it as uncharacterized. The transcript has 4 exons. The record is from RefSeq and is a predicted model, not a curated record. Lineage: Eukaryota; Metazoa; Chordata; Aves; Rheiformes; Rheidae.
CCGCGCGGCUGGCGGCGCCUGCGGGAGCCGCACCCCCACCCCGCGCGUGGGGAGCGGCCCCGCGCGUGGGGAGGCGCCUUCCUUACCGCGCCAGGUGCCUGGGGCGGGGCCGCGCCGCCCUCUCUGUGCCCCAGAGCUGCAGGCGAGGUGCGCAACGUCCUGGGGUAGUUUAUUGGCACAAAAAUAUUCAAAGACGACAUGGCAUCUAGACACGGCUACGCCUCGUGUGCUUUUCAGUCCAGGCCCCGCGGGAAGCUCCCAAGCGUAGUUCAGUGGUGCCCGGCGUCCACACAGAGGCACCGUACUGCGCUCGGCUUCGAUACCCUGAUCCAGGCUGAAAGGCGACCCCUCCGCCAAAGUACGGUUUUCACGUUCCAGGCAAGAAUCCAGUUUGAAAACAAUGUAACAGGAUGCUGAGAGCGUGCACACUACAUUUCUUAUUUAUGCUGACAAGGAAUUGAUCUCAGUGUGUCCUGUAGGUUGUUUCCUCGAGACAGAGAUAUGGAUCGGAAGAAACCUUGGACAGCAGGGACUGUGUACAUCAAGAGGGUCUUGGACAAAUCCUUUUGGAAUGAAAAUUGCUGCAUUAGCUCUACACAGGGCUAUCCUUUAUAUGAAACCUGAACUAGGUAAGGGGGAGGAGGGAGAACUAUGCAGAAACAGAGAUUUAAUUCACACUAUGAUUGACUUCUGUUCACGUUCUUUGUAAGACUUCAUAUUUUGCUUGACUGUACACAUAUCUCUCAGCCUGGCAGGAACACAGAAGUCUUACCAUGCUUCAACUGGCAAAAAACAGGGACAGCAAGCAAGACUAAAAGCUACAAUCCUUCCAGAGCUGGCAAGCAGAAGACAGAUUCCUGAGAAAGUGUUCUAUUGUGAAGUGCUUAGACAGGAAAAUUUGUUACUGCACAUCGUAUCACCUAUGAUAACUCUCUAUAACUUUACUCUUAGUUCCCAGCUAAUCUAUGGUCAUUUUCAUUAGUUAAGUCCUCUUGUCUUACGACUAAGUUAAUCUGAAACUCCUCACUCUUGCUGUAAGCUACCAGCAUAGAUACAGACAACUUCCAAAUCUCAAACACACGUAGUAGCUUGUUCUUCACCGUAACCUUUUCCUGAGAGUGAGCAAUAAGUACUGAUCUCAAAUUAAACAGAGAAGAAUGGUACCUCAGUGACUUUUUUCUGCACUGGAGAUGGGAUAGGGCUGUUCUCUGUGCUUUCUGCCUCACUUUCACUGUUGCUGCCCUCUGUGUUGGCACUGGUGAUGCUGGCUCCACUGGCAUGACGCAGUUUCUUCUUCUCAUCUCUGGCCUGGUUCUGAUGUUUGUAAUGAAGCACAGCUUCAAAGUUCAUCACUGCCCAUGCAUGCCAGGCCUGCCAAAAGAAGAGAACUUCAACAAAAAUCAGAGGAAAGAUGAAUCUUUUCUGCAACCUGUACUGUCUAAUGAUUAGAGAUGUAGUCCCAACUUCUCAAAGUCCAUGGAUAACGGUAGCAACUAAUGCCCUGCAGACACCACAAUGCUUUGUUCUCUCUAUCAACUGUAGUUUUAAUUUCUUAUUAACUUGAACAACAUCAUGACAAAUACUUGGCCAACAACUCCAUGUUGGAUAUUGUGGCAUCAAAAGAGCUCUGUAGCAAAAUUUAUGUCACACUGCAUUCCCACAUUUCUUAAUUUUUCAAAAUUUAAAAUGAAGAAGGACUAGAGGAGGCUUAAGAGGAUGAGAUGAGGGAGAAGGUUGCCCCAGAAAAGAUCUAGCAUCAAAUACUAAUUUAGAACCCUUAAGUAAAAGGCUUUUUGGAGAGUUAGUGACAAGACUCUUCCUAGUUCAAUACACUUAGCAAAAACAGGUUAAAAUGUUUCUAUUUAGAUUACCCUUUCUUCUUCAUUGUUAGCUGACAGGAGAGAAAGUCCCAAAUACAAGACUAGCAACUGAUCUGUGGUCUUUAUACUGGUCAGAUAAAAUUCUGAAUAACAGUCAUGAUUGCUAUGGGCUGCCUUCUUGGUUUCUAACCCUACUCACAGUAACAAUGCAGUUACAGGCCAUCUCCCUAUCAACAACUUCCUUUCCUGUAUUAUGGAGUGUGGUCAUAUUACUGAUCUCCUUGCAACUGUGCCUUAAACUUCUCCUUACUGACCUUGUACCAGUUGCGGUCAUGCUCUGUUGCAGCACUGUAGUAUUGCAAAACUUUGGGGAUUGUGCUCUCAUUGAUGCCUUGGAGAUUCAGCUGCCACUCACCCAGUUUCAGGAAACACCUGGUUAAGCAAAAGGAUUAUUGACUCUCAGAGAGAACGUAGGAUGAAAAUUAAGAUUUCUGGACUGAGAGGCAGACUUCUUAGGCAAAAUCUGAAAGAUAUUCUGUGUGGUAAACACCCUCUGUAAGCCUCUUCUGCAGACAGGCAGCAUACGUGGUACCUUCAACAGAUAAAAGUUCAAAAAGCCUACAUUCUGUGAGAAGCAAACUGGCUAACGGUUUCGCUUUUAGAGGAUGGAGUAGGGAUCAAACUUUGCUCCCCCUUUAUAUCUAUUAUAAAAUGGAUUUAAGAAGUUAACAGGGGCAUAAAAGGACUUGACUGAUAAAAUGCACACAACCCAUGUGCUGGCUAGCUAUACUUAUCACCAUAUGAACUAGCCUUCUGGAGAAAACACACUGUGACAACCAGCCAGUGGAAACACAGCAAAACUGCUUUUGGGCCAAGCCAGAACCUCAUUAAGUCAUCCCCUCCCUGAGGAAAGAAAAACAAAGCAUUUUCACUGCAGCAGGGUGGGGCUGUGAAAAGCCUAAUACUUCACUCUCUCAGCAGGUUUUAAAUACCACAAUUGCACAUCUGUCCUUUCUACAUUUUGCUGUUUCCAACAAGCCUUGUGCAAGAAAAAUUUUAUGCAUAACUCAUCACUAAUCUGCCUUCCAAGAUAGUCACUAUGGAAAAAAAAAUGAUAGCUGUUACCAGGUUCCCAGUCUCAUAAAAGAGAAUGAGAUGCAUGGCUCUCUUUAAAAACUCCCUUCAGCAAUAAACACUGUGCAAUUUCUUAUUUAAAUGGGAGAUGACAGAAUCAAUAAGGCACCUCGAAAUAUGUGGAAGAAAAUGGAGAUUAUUAGAUGUAUUUUUAAUGCAACAAUAUUUUAAGAGACUAUCACAUGCUGGGUACCCAUUGCCUGAGGCACUGCUGUUGUACUGAGGGCACCAGCUGCCAAGUACAGAUACGCCAGGCAUAAUAGAAAUGCUCUUUUCCUACUGAGUGGAUCCCCUGAAAACCAAAGGAAUAGUCAUGCUGGGAGCUCUACCUUCUGCCAAUGAGCCACAGUGCAGGAAAAAAACAACCAGCUGCCAGUGACAAAUACAAGCUUGUUUACAAUGAUUUGUCACUAUAACAUUUACUGAAAUCAUAAAUAGAUAACGAUGUAAUACCAAACUGCUCUCUACCAACUAGACGAGAAAUAUUCUGUUCCUCCCAAAGUGGAGGUUUUGUCUGAAAUACUUGAUCUGCACAGACCCUGCAACCCCAGGAAGGACAUCAAGUGUUUCCAUACAGGUAAAGGGUCUCCAAGGACCAAAUGCUGACCGUGCCAUGAGCUUGUGGAGUUCCUGCUUGUGCUGCUGGUCUUCAGUCGCAAUAGCAUGCUGUGCCUGUUGCUGCAUUGUCUGCACGAAGUGCUGCAUGUGCUGGAAAGCAUCAAUCUGUAAUUGGACGAUGACAAUGGUAAGGACUGUGGGGGUUAAAUAACUUCACAAGAGAGGAAGACAAUGUGGAAAUAAAUUUUCACAGAAAGUAAAAACUAUACUUUUCUUUCAAAGCCUUUUAACUGCUUACAUCCUUCUAAAAUCAGGUCAUAGGCCUGUUCUGUAGCACCAAAUAAAGAGGUUAGAGAUUCUUAAAUUAACACCUUAUAAAUCUGGACACUGAAUUGCUACACUGAGGAAUUAAUAAAUGUAUCCUUUGA